GCUAAGAAUCUUCCGCAAUGGGGGAAACCCUGACGGAGCGACGCCGCGUGGACGAAGAAGGCCGCAAGGUUGUAAAGUCCUUUUGCAGGCGAAGAAUAAGGUGAAGAGUGGAAAGCUUUGCCGAUGACGUUAGCCUGCGAAUAAGCCCCGGCCAAUUACGUGCCAGCAGCCGCGGUAACACGUAUGGGGCGAGCGUUGUUCGGAAUUACUGGGCGUAAAGGGCGUGUAGGCGGUUUCGUAAGCCUGGCGUGAAAGGUAUCGGCUUAACCGGUAGAUUGCGCUGGGAACUGCGGGACUGGAGUUUUGGAGGGGGAGCUGGAAUUCCAGGUGUAGGGGUGAAAUCUGUAGAGAUCUGGAAGAACACCGGAGGCGAAGGCGAGCUCCUGGCCAGUGACUGACGCUGAGGCGCGAAAGCGUGGGGAGCAAACAGGAUUAGAAACCCCGGUAGUCC
This 451-nucleotide ribosomal RNA is filed under the name uncultured bacterium. RNAcentral's name for it is "bacterial SSU rRNA". It matches the Rfam family "Bacterial small subunit ribosomal RNA", at positions 354 to 796 of the family's 1533-position model. The record is from RNAcentral.